RNAcentral lists this ribosomal RNA (621 nucleotides) under uncultured bacterium. Its description in RNAcentral is "bacterial SSU rRNA". It matches the Rfam family "Bacterial small subunit ribosomal RNA", at positions 98 to 754 of the family's 1533-position model. The record is from RNAcentral.
GCGGACGGGUUAGUAACGCGUGGGAAUAUGCCCAGAUCUGCGGAAUAGCCUCUGGAAACGGAGAGUAAUACCGCAUACGCCCUUCGGGGGAAAGAUUUAUCGGAUUUGGAUUAGCCCGCGUUGGAUUAGGUAGUUGGUGGGGUAAUGGCCUACCAAGCCGACGAUCCGUAGCUGGUUUGAGAGGAUGAUCAGCAACACUGGGACUGAGACACGGCCCAGACUCCUACGGGAGGCAGCAGUGGGGAAUCUUAGACGAUGGGGGAAACCCUGAUCUAGCCAUGCCGCGUGAGUGACGAAGGCCCUAGGGUCGUAAAGCUCUUUCAGCUGUGAAGAUAAUGACGGUAGCAGCAGAAGAAACCCCGGCUAACUCCGUGCCAGCAGCCGCGGUAAUACGGAGGGGGUUAGCGUUGUUCGGAAUUACUGGGCGUAAAGCGCGCGUAGGCGGACUAUUAAGUCGAGGGUGAAAUCCCGGGGCUCAACCCCGGAACUGCCUUCGAUACUGGUAGUCUUGAGUUCGAGAGAGGUGAGUGGAAUUCCGAGUGUAGAGGUGAAAUUCGUAGAUAUUCGGAGGAACACCAGUGGCGAAGGCGGCUCACUGGCUCGAUACUGACGCUGAGGUGC